This 1848-nucleotide unclassified non-coding RNA is filed under the name Hevea brasiliensis (rubber tree). Lineage: Eukaryota; Viridiplantae; Streptophyta; Magnoliopsida; Malpighiales; Euphorbiaceae. The record is from RNAcentral.
AAAUUACUGAAAUUACUUAUCAAUUAGAAUCUCAAGGAUGUGCCAAUAGAACAAUCAAGCAUAUUCCAGUCAAGUUUCAUGGGCCAUUGGUAAGGAUGAGAUGGAAAGUCUUUGUCAAUUAGUGCAAUACUUUGACCCAUUUAAUUUUUUUUUUUCCCUCUUUUUUAAUUUGAGAUGUUUCAAUUUUUAAUACAAAAGGAUGGUGAUCAACCAUUGCAUCAGCCUGAUCUGGAUUUCUUCCCCUUAACCUUUUCAGUCGUAUAGAUGGAGAUCUCCCUCACCAUGCUACAGAACUCAUGCCAUGGCUCAUCCCCAAACAACAUCAUGUCACCUUCAUCAUCAGUAUAGACAACCUUCCAUUUCUCUGUGGAUCCUAUGAGUUCACCUUCAAUUUCAAACAUCUUUUCCAGUUGUCUUAGCAGGUCCUCAUGGCAUUCUAACUGUGUCAAAUCAACUGAUCUUCUAACAGCAAUACCUUGCAUCUUAACCUUGAUUCUCUUCCUGAUCUGUCUGCCUUCAAUUUCCUGAGGUACCUGGCACGGUUUCUGAGGCUCACAAUUUGUUGCACGUAUUUCAGACCGACAAAUAAUGUUCGAUGUUUCAGAAUGCUGGCCAGAGUCGGCAUCUAAAGAUAGAACUGGGCAAGCAUCCCCCACUUUUCGAGGUUCUUCAUCAGCAGCAGAGGCAGAAGACUCUAUAAGAGUAGCCUCUGAACUAAAUCCACUAAAACCCAGAGAGCUUGUCUUUGAAGUGGCAGAGGAACUGGAUGAUGAAUCAAGAUCAUAAUAGGAGAAAGCACGAGAUUCAAGGGGGAAUACCCACAUACCAUAGUCCAAUGUAGAUGACCCCCGAAGAGAAAACUCUGGCCGCUUCUUCCCUUGCCCAGGGAGGGAGUUUGGAGGAGUUACUGCAACAGGUAGUUCUACUUCCCAUGGCGAAACGCUUUCUGGACGCGAGAUUGAAGAAGCUUCAUCCCAUUGAACCUUUAAGCAUCUCCACCUAGAACCAGGCCAUCUUGAUGAUACAUCUUCAAUGCCCACAAUUGUGCCAUUGAAGCUCUGUUCAAGAACUUGCUCAACCUCAAAUCUCAUCUUAAACCUUUUCCCGAUGGAAAACACAUUUUUCUGAGCUUCAAGGUACUUGUUGACACUGACAAUGAAAUCAGACCUACUUGUUCUGGGUCUGUAAAGGAUAGUGAAAAGAGUUCCAGUCGCCAUGGCAUGUGAAGCACUAGCAAGAACCUCAACGUGCAUGUUUUCACUAGAUGUAACAGAAGAUAUAUUUAUCUCUUGUCUCAUGAGCCUCCUUACUCCAACCUGAAGCCUUCCAUUUUCUCCCCUUAGAAAGAUGAAAACAUCGCCUGCUGCUAACUUUUUUGAGCUAACAAAUGAACUCCACCCAGUUGUGAGUAAGUGGCGCUUAGGUUUACCCCGGAAAAUGUGUCGGAAAUGCCACUUGUUUCUAUGCAGAUCAGUUGCAACCAAUUCCUGCCUAGGUGGCUGCUGGGACAUAUCCAAUGGAGGAAGACAGUCCUCUGCAUGCUUUCGAUAAAUAAAUAAACAGCCACGGGUGCUUGUGUCUGAAGCAGUAAGAGUUUUGUGAAAUGAAUGAGUUGUGUAUGUUUCUGGUUCUGGAAGUGGAGGAUCAGGGCUGGUAAUUUCUGCUUGAUCUAGUUCAGGAAGUAGAACUAUUUGUGCAUAAACUUUGUCAGUUUCAGGUUCAGCCAUACGUUGAACAUAAAUCACUCUACAAAGAAUUUUAGAUGGAAGAUCAGAUAGGGGCAUUUGCUGUUCUAACUCCGGAUAUACCGGAACUCCAAGCUCUUGUUCUAUGUGACCUUGUGGAAAA